UGGGGAAUAUUGCACAAUGGGGGAAACCCUGAUGCAGCGACGCCGCGUGAAGGAAGACGUAUUUCGGUAUGUAAACUUCUAUCAGCAGGGAAGAAAACAGACGGUACCUGACUAAGAAGCCCCGGCUAACUACGUGCCAGCAGCCGCGGUAAUACGUAGGGGGCAAGCGUUAUCCGGAUUUACUGGGUGUAAAGGGGGCGCAGACGGCCAUGGCAAGCCCGGUGUGAAAGGCAGGGGCAUAACCCCUGGACUGCACUGGGAACUGUCAGGCUGGAGUGCCGGAGGGGUAAGCGGAAUUCCUGG
Molecule: ribosomal RNA, 303 nt
Filed under: uncultured bacterium
Lineage: Bacteria
Description: bacterial SSU rRNA
Rfam family: Bacterial small subunit ribosomal RNA
Source: RNAcentral